GGCCCGCCCCCGGCACCGCCCGGGAACCGUCGAGAGGGGAACCGCCCCCGUUCCAGUCGGCCCGGGGGCCAGAACCUUGCCCCGCGGACCUUACGCGCCCGGACGCCGGCCGAGAUCUCAAGCCAAAGCCCCAUCGCAGCAGCCGUGCCUACGGUCCUAUUGACCCCACGGCGAUGGACCUGAAUUUGCAUGAAGGUUGACUCUUCACGGUCACCUAGUUUAAUCGAGGAAUCCAAAUGAAACCUCACUCAAGGAAGCCAUAAAAUUAUCUCUUGCCAUUGCAGUCCAGUGCCAACUUGAAACGUACACAGAUGCGAAUAACGCUCCGAACACGUGAGGUUUGAAAUCCCAGAGCAAGGCGCCUUUGAUACUCCCAGUGCCUGAGGUCGGCCCCCACGCCCUGUUGUGACACACAUGCCUAAGCACUACGCCUGCAACACGCUCACACUCAGGUUUUACAUACAGGCUUCUGAAGACGGUAUCUCAACUGAAAGACCAUGUGACUCUAAUUUGAGAAUUCAAACCACUUUCUGGUCAGUGGGGGAAAUAUGUGGGGAUGAAUAAGGUGUCACACAUCCCUCAAACCCUAUCAUGCAUGCCCUGCCUUCUGUCGCUAUGGAUGGAUCAGAACAUCAUCUUAUGAUAAGUUAUCAUUCCUUUGGAUGGUUUUAAAGAGAACUUAAUCUGUGGCUAAAAAUGGAGAGAUUCUAGAAUAAAAUUUUCUCAGAACUGCC
Molecule: long non-coding RNA, 734 nt
Organism: Leopardus geoffroyi (Geoffroy's cat)
Lineage: Eukaryota; Metazoa; Chordata; Mammalia; Carnivora; Felidae
Exons: 2
Source: RefSeq, a predicted model, not a curated record